This 253-nucleotide ribosomal RNA is filed under the name uncultured bacterium. RNAcentral describes it as "partial 16S ribosomal RNA". It matches the Rfam family "Bacterial small subunit ribosomal RNA", at positions 524 to 776 of the family's 1533-position model. The record is from RNAcentral.
UACGGGGGGGGCAAGCGUUGUUCGGAUUUACUGGGCGUAAAGGGCUCGUAGGCGGCCAACUAAGUCGGAUGUGAAAUCCCCAGGCUUAACCUGGGAACUGCAUCCGAUACUGGAUGGCUUGAAUCCGGGAGAGGGGUGCAGAAUUCCAGGUGUAGCGGUGAAAUGCGUAGAUAUCUGGAGGAAUACCGGUGGCGAAGGCGGCAUCCUGGACCGGCAUUGACGCUGAGGAGCGAAAGCUAGGGGAGCAAACGGG